RNAcentral lists this ribosomal RNA (207 nucleotides) under uncultured bacterium. RNAcentral describes it as "partial 16S ribosomal RNA". It matches the Rfam family "Bacterial small subunit ribosomal RNA", at positions 568 to 774 of the family's 1533-position model. The record is from RNAcentral.
CGUGUAGGCUGUCGUGUUAGUCGGGUGUGAAAGCCCAGGGCUCAACCCUGGAAGUGCACUCGAAACUGCACGACUGGAGUCUCGGAGAGGGAGGCGGAAUUCUGGGUGUAGAGGUGAAAUUCGUAGAUAUCCAGAGGAACACCGGUGGCGAAGGCGGCCUCCUGGACGAGCACUGACGCUGAGACGCGAAAGCGUGGGGAGCAAACA